CCUACGGGAGGCAGCAGUGGGGAAUUUUGGACAAUGGGCGCAAGCCUGAUCCAGCAAUGCCGCGUGAGUGAAGAAGGCCUUCGGGUUGUAAAGCUCUUUUGUCAGGGAAGAAACGGUGGGAGCUAAUAUCUCCUACUAAUGACGGUACCUGAAGAAUAAGCACCGGCUAACUACGUGCCAGCAGCCGCGGUAAUACGUAGGGUGCAAGCGUUAAUCGGAAUUACUGGGCGUAAAGCGUGCGCAGGCGGUUUUGUAAGUCUGUCGUGAAAGCCCCGGGCUCAACCUGGGAAUUGCGAUGGAGACUGCAAGGCUUGAAUCUGGCAGAGGGGGGUAGAAUUCCACGUGUAGCAGUGAAAUGCGUAGAGAUGUGGAGGAACACCGAUGGCGAAGGCAGCCCCCUGGGUCAAGAUUGACGCUCAUGCACGAAAGCGUGGGGAGCAAACAGGAUUAGAUACCCUGGUAGUCCACGCCCUAAACGAUGUCUACUAGUUGUCGGGUUUUAAUUAACUUGGUAACGCAGCUAACGCGUGAAGUAGACCGCCUGGGGAUACGGUCGCAAGNUUAAAACUCAAAUGAAUUGACGG
This 584-nucleotide ribosomal RNA is filed under the name uncultured bacterium. Its description in RNAcentral is "bacterial SSU rRNA". It matches the Rfam family "Bacterial small subunit ribosomal RNA", at positions 338 to 916 of the family's 1533-position model. The record is from RNAcentral.